This 453-nucleotide ribosomal RNA is filed under the name Kluyvera ascorbata. RNAcentral's name for it is "bacterial SSU rRNA". It matches the Rfam family "Bacterial small subunit ribosomal RNA", at positions 1 to 452 of the family's 1533-position model. RNAcentral also lists the same sequence under 2 other names. Lineage: Bacteria; Pseudomonadati; Pseudomonadota; Gammaproteobacteria; Enterobacterales; Enterobacteriaceae. The record is from RNAcentral.
AAAUUGAAGAGUUUGAUCAUGGCUCAGAUUGAACGCUGGCGGCAGGCCUAACACAUGCAAGUCGAACGGUAGCACAGAGAGCUUGCUCUUGGGUGACGAGUGGCGGACGGGUGAGUAAUGUCUGGGAAACUGCCCGAUGGAGGGGGAUAACUACUGGAAACGGUAGCUAAUACCGCAUAACGUCGCAAGACCAAAGUGGGGGACCUUCGGGCCUCACACCAUCGGAUGUGCCCAGAUGGGAUUAGCUAGUUGGUGAGGUAAUGGCUCACCAAGGCGACGAUCCCUAGCUGGUCUGAGAGGAUGACCAGCCACACUGGAACUGAGACACGGUCCAGACUCCUACGGGAGGCAGCAGUGGGGAAUAUUGCACAAUGGGCGCAAGCCUGAUGCAGCCAUGCCGCGUGUAUGAAGAAGGCCUUCGGGUUGUAAAGUACUUUCAGCGAGGAGGAAGGC